Molecule: long non-coding RNA, 218 nt
Organism: Neopsephotus bourkii (Bourke's parrot)
Lineage: Eukaryota; Metazoa; Chordata; Aves; Psittaciformes; Psittacidae
Exons: 2
Source: RefSeq, a predicted model, not a curated record
CCGCGCCACCCGCGGUUCUCCCGCUUCCCGGAGGACGAGCCCAGUGCAGAUGUGCCUCCCACCACCCCCCCUCACACACACACACCCCCCCUCAAAGGAUCUCUCCUCUGGACUUAAGAGAGAAGAGGAAAAGGCAGAUUUGGAGAAAUGAAAAUGAUUUAAGGAUGGCUCCGCGGCUUCUCUCUGCUGCCCUCCUCUGUAGCAGUGAAGCACUUACA